UACGGAGGGGGCUAGCGUUGUUCGGAAUUACUGGGCGUAAAGCGCACGUAGGCGGACAUUUAAGUCAGGGGUGAAAUCCCAGAGCUCAACUCUGGAACUGCCUUUGAUACUGGGUGUCUUGAGUAUGGAAGAGGUGAGUGGAAUUCCGAGUGUAGAGGUGAAAUUCGUAGAUAUUCGGAGGAACACCAGUGGCGAAGGCGGCUCACUGGUCCAUUACUGACGCUGAGGUGCGAAAGCGUGGGGAGCAAACAGG
RNAcentral lists this ribosomal RNA (253 nucleotides) under uncultured bacterium. RNAcentral's name for it is "partial 16S ribosomal RNA". It matches the Rfam family "Bacterial small subunit ribosomal RNA", at positions 524 to 776 of the family's 1533-position model. The record is from RNAcentral.